AUCACUUCUCGGCCUUUUGGCUAAGAUCAAGUGUAGUAUCUGUUCACAUCAGCUUAAUAAUUUUUAUUUCUUUUUGAUGACUUCAAUGAAGUUGUUUAUAUUUUCAUUUCUUCCAUUUGUAUUGAGACGGAUC
Molecule: small nuclear RNA, 133 nt
Filed under: Suricata suricatta (meerkat)
Lineage: Eukaryota; Metazoa; Chordata; Mammalia; Carnivora; Herpestidae
Description: U2 spliceosomal RNA (ENSSSUG00005000795.1)
Rfam family: U2 spliceosomal RNA
About the family: U2 is a small nuclear RNA (snRNA) component of the spliceosome (involved in pre-mRNA splicing). Complementary binding between U2 snRNA (in an area lying towards the 5' end but 3' to hairpin I) and the branchpoint sequence (BPS) of the intron results the bulging out of an unpaired adenosine, on the BPS, which initiates a nucleophilic attack at the intronic 5' splice site, thus starting the first of two transesterification reactions that mediate splicing.
Source: Rfam by way of RNAcentral